This 85-nucleotide transfer RNA is filed under the name Alphaproteobacteria bacterium. RNAcentral's name for it is "tRNA-Leu". It matches the Rfam family "tRNA". Rfam says of the family: Transfer RNA (tRNA) molecules are approximately 80 nucleotides in length. Their secondary structure includes four short double-helical elements and three loops (D, anti-codon, and T loops). Lineage: Bacteria; Pseudomonadati; Pseudomonadota; Alphaproteobacteria. The record is from RNAcentral.
GCGGGCGUGGCGAAAUUGGCAGACGCACCAGAUUUAGGUUCUGGCGCCGUGAGGCGUGGGGGUUCAAGUCCCUCCGCCCGCACCA